RNAcentral lists this ribosomal RNA (468 nucleotides) under uncultured bacterium. RNAcentral describes it as "partial 16S ribosomal RNA". It matches the Rfam family "Bacterial small subunit ribosomal RNA", at positions 28 to 507 of the family's 1533-position model. The record is from RNAcentral.
GACGAACGCUGGCGGCGUGCUUAACACAUGCAAGUCGAACGGAAAGGCCCUGCUUUUGUGGGGUGCUCGAGUGGCGAACGGGUGAGUAACACGUGAGUAACCUGCCCUUGACUUUGGGAUAACUUCAGGAAACUGGGGCUAAUACCGGAUAGGAGCUCCUGCUGCAUGGUGGGGGUUGGAAAGUUUCGGCGGUUGGGGAUGGACUCGCGGCUUAUCAGCUUGUUGGUGGGGUAGUGGCUUACCAAGGCUUUGACGGGUAGCCGGCCUGAGAGGGUGACCGGCCACAUUGGGACUGAGAUACGGCCCAGACUCCUACGGGAGGCAGCAGUGGGGAAUAUUGCACAAUGGGCGGAAGCCUGAGGCAGCAACGCCGCGUGCGGGAUGACGGCCUUCGGGUUGUAAACCGCUUUCGCCUGUGACGAAGUGUGAGUGACGGUAAUGGGUAAAGAAGCACCGGCUAACUACGUG